GUCUAUGGCCACACCACCCUGAACGCGCCAGAUCUCGUCUGAUCUCGGAAGCUAAGCAGGGUCAGGCCUGGUUAGUACUUGGAUGGGAGAAUAACCAAAGCAAUUCUGGGCAUUAAACACG
Ribosomal RNA from Cavia aperea (Brazilian guinea pig), 121 nucleotides. The record is from Ensembl. NCBI's taxonomy places the organism in Eukaryota, Metazoa, Chordata, Mammalia, Rodentia, Caviidae.